GAUGAAGAACGUAGCGAAAUGCGAAAAGUAGUGUGAAUUGCAGAAUUCAGUGAAUCAUCGAAUCUUUGAACGCACCUUGCACCCUUUGGCAUUCCGAAGGGUAUGCUCGUUUGAGUGUCAUUGUACUCUCACUCUCCCGAUCUUUGGAUCGGGAGUGGUGGACUUGGGUGUUGCUGCUUUACCGUGGCUCACCUCAAAUGGAUUCGUGCAACUCCUGGUUGGACAUAGUACGGCGUGAUAAGUGUCUUCGCCGGCACCUCACUAGAGGGUGGCUGACCGGGAGCUCUGUGCUUCAAACCGUCUUCGGACAACAACUGACAACUUGACCUCAAAUCGAGUAGGACCACCCGCUGAACUUAAGCAUAUCAAUAAGCGGAGGA
This 380-nucleotide unclassified non-coding RNA is filed under the name soil metagenome. RNAcentral describes it as "partial contains 5.8S ribosomal RNA, internal transcribed spacer 2, and large subunit ribosomal RNA". The stretch from base 1 to 120 matches the Rfam family "5.8S ribosomal RNA", at positions 35 to 154 of the family's 154-position model. The record is from RNAcentral.